AGAAGAAGAAGAAAACAUGGGUGGCGGGGUCUACUAAUUGAUUAUAGUCUUUGAUAUUUUGUGUGUGUGGUGAACAAUUGUUGAGUCGGUGGUUUUGCCUAUCAAAUAAGUUUGUGACUUUGGUGCAAAGGCAAACAGAAAGAGAGAAAAAUAGAGUGAAGAUAGAGAGAGUGCAUAGAGAGGGCCGAGAUUAAGGAGGGAUAGAGAGUGAGCUGAGAGUCUGCGGAGGAGGCUGGAGGUUUAAGGACUUGGUGAUACAGUGAGAAAAUUCUUUUUCAAUGACUUUUUGUCUCAUCACCCUCCAGUUUCGGGUACCGAAGAUGAACGGGAUUGCUAGAUUCGGGCUUAGGCUGAAGAGUUGGUGUUGCGAGAUUUAAAUUUUUUUUUAAUUUGGAGAAUUUUUGUAUAUUUGAGGAAAUUGAUUUUGUAUAAAAGAGAGGGCAAUUUUUAUGAUCCUAGUGUAUUUUGAUGUAUUUGGAUUUGUAUAAAUCAAGAAUUUUAUUAAAAAUUUUGGGUCGUGACAAAAUGGUAUCAGAGCCUGCACCCAGCCGGAAGUGUGAGUGUAGUGAUGAUGUAGACGGGUGUGAGUGGGCAAGUGUGUAGUACUGAUCAGCUAUCACUCGUAGCCGGGUGUGUGUGAGAGGAUGGCGUUCACUGGCAGUUACAAGGAUGGUUGGUUAGUGUGAUUGGGCAGGUAGCCCAGAUUUGUUAUUGUUUGUUUUUUUUUUAGUAGGCGGAUGACACAUCGACUAGCUACCACAACAGUUACGAAGUGUGUGGGCGGGUGACUAGCACUGGCAGCUACCACAACGUCCUACAUAUCGUGGUAUCUCACAUCGCUUAGGAUAAGGAUUUAUGGAUUUUGUUUUGUGGUUAUUAGUGUUUUCGAGUAUACGGACGGUUGGAUCUGAAUUUCGAGGACAAAAUUCUUUUUAAGUGGUGAAAAUUGUAAUAACCCGAAUUUUUAAGAUUUUAAUUUAAUUUAUUUCAUGAUUUUUAAGUUGUCAUAGUUGAUUAUUUAUUUAUUUUUAUUGGAGAUUUGCCUACUAGAAUUAUUUAAUGAGUUGUUGGUUUGUUACAUAUUAUCAAUAUAUAUAUUUAUAUGGUACCUGAUGGGAUAAGAAGUGGAGCAGCGAAAUGGGAUAAAAGAAUGUUGUAUUGGCACGGGUCCCACUUGAAUGUUAUUUAGGGAGAUUGAAUUUGAUUUUUGUAUAAAUGUGAUAUAUAUAUAUAUAUAUAUAUAUAUAUAUAUAUAUAUAUAUAUUGUGUGCUCUGUAUAUCAGAUGGAGAAGGAAAGAAAGCAGUAACCGUAAGUUGAAGGAGGAAAAAAAAUGAAAUGGAAAUGUUACUGCGGGUCCCACGUGAGAAAGAGAUUUGGUUUUUUGUUGCAUCUUUAUAUAUAUUAUAUAUAUAUAUAUAUAUAUAUAUAUAUAUAUAUAUAUAUAUAUAUAAUUUGUAUCGGAUGGGACAAGGAAGCAAGGCUGAAAAGAAAAGGAAAGAAGGAAAAGCUAUAAUGAUUUCAUGGGUCUCAUUUGUUGCCAAAAGUCUUUGGCUUCACGUGGGUUGUUUGGGUGAAUUGAUUUGGUUAUUGUAUAUAUGUUGUGUCUGUUGAAAAGAGAUGGCAGGCGGGCCUGCCGAAUUGAUGGCGUGAAGAUACGGAAUGAGAAAAGAAGGAGAAGAAAGCAUGGUGGCGGGGUCCACUAAUUGAUUAUGGUCUUUGAUAUUUUGUGUGUGUGGUGAACAAUUGUUGAAUCGGUGGUUUUGCCUAUAAAAUAGGCUUGUAACUUUUGUGCAAAGGCAAAUAGAAAUAGAGAAAAAUAGAGUGAAGAUAGAGAGAGUGCAUAAAGAGGGCCGAGAUUGAGGAGGGACAGAGAGUGAGCUGAGAGUCUGCAGAGGAGGCCGGAGGUUUGAGGACUUGGUGAUAUAGUGAGAAAAUUCUUUUUCAGUGUAGGGUUCUCUAUACCUUGAAUAGCUUAGAGUGGUUUUACCUCAAUGGUUUUUUUAUUAAAUGUUUUGAUUAAAUGCAUAUUUAUUUUGUUUAUAUACUCAUAUGAAUAUGUAUAUUUUGGGAAGCCGCUUUAUUAAACCUCCAUGAAAUUCUUGUUACGGUUUUUCCUGGGACUUUUUGUCUCAUCACCCUCCAACUUCAAGUACUGAAGAUGAACGGGGAUUGCUAGAUUCGGGCUUAGGCUGAAGAGUUGGUGUUGCGAGAUUUAAAUUUUUUUUUUAUUUGGAGAAUUUUUGUAUAUUUGGGGAAAUAGAUUUUGUAUAAAAGAGAAGGCAAUUUUUAUGAUCCUGAUGUAUUUGGAUUUGUACAAAUCGAGAAUUUUAUUAGAAUUUUCGGGUCGUGAUAGCAUUGGUCCAGUUGGGAUUGUCUUUGUAGGAGCAAACAAGAAGGAAGGUUGGGUUUUCGAGAUAUAGAGGCAUAUAAUGUGGCUAUGCUCUCCAAGCAAGCAUGGAAUUUUCAAGUAACGAAACAAGGGCUGGCGUUUCAAUUAUAUAAAGCGAAAUAUUUUAGUAACUGUUCUUUUCUUUAUGCCUCGUCGGGAAGUAAUCCAUCAUGGGGUUGGCGUAGCAUUUGGUCUGCACAACCCAUUAUUAAAAAGGGCAUGAGAUGGUUGGUGGGCAAUGGGAAAAUGAUUAAUAUAUGGAAAGAUGUGUGGAUACCAAAUUCUUGUUGCCCGUUUGCCCCUCAGGUUGAGAUUCCAUCAGUGCAUGUGGUUGCGGAUCUUAUUGAUGAGGUGAAUCAUUCAUGGAAAGUCUCUAUCCUUGCUCAAUAUUUCCAAUCGGAUGUCGUGGAGGCCAUUUUGUGAAUUCCAAUUAGCUUGUAUGGGCGUGAAGAUGUUCAAUGUUGGUCACCCACACCGUCCAGAGAUUUUUCUGUUAAAAAAGCAUAUCAUAUUGCUUUUAAGAUGCUCUCACAGAUCUCUAGUCAUAAUAAUAGUGUUUUGCAGUCUAAUAUUGAUUCUCAUUGCUGGCAGUCAAUUUGGCAAUGUAAUAUUCCUUCAAAAGUGAAACAUUUUUUGUGGUAAUGUUGCCGGGGAGUGUUGCCCACCAACGAGGUACUUAAUAACCGAGGUCUUUCUUAGGAUCCGGUUUGCCCAUGUUGUGGUGGAGAAAACGAAUCGAUGGAGCAUCUCAUGUUCCGUUGUCCUUUCGCUCUUCAUGUAUGGAAGUUGUCCCCUCUUCGAUUUGAUUUUGUCUCAUUGUCUAUUUCAUUGUUUGCAACAUGGUGGAGUUCAUUGGGUCAUGGAACUGUAGGUGGGUCUGCUAGAUUGGAGCUAAGAAGCUUGUUUGCUGUAUGUGUUUGGGCCAUCUGGAAGGCAGGGAAUUGAGUGGUUUUUUUAUGGCAAAUGCUCCAGCUGGCAAUAUGUGGUUCGGAAGGCAGUGGCUGAUUAUUGGGAGUUUUUGGAUGCUAAUGUUAAUAGUCCAGAAAUUAUUGAAGUAGUUCAGUUGGAUGGUGUGGUUUCAGAGCAUGAUGUAUGGAUCCCUUCUCCAAACAAACGUGACAAAAUGUAAUGUUGAUGCCUCUUUUUUGGCUUCCAAAGGCUUGGCAGGAGGUGGAAUCAUUUUCAGAGACAACAAUGGGUAUCUCUUAAAGCUUGUGAUUCUUAAGCAGUUCCCCACGGCAACACUGCUUAUGGCAGAGGCUUGGGUGUUGCGGGUUGCAGUGUAGUGGGCUCAAUGAUUCAACUUUUAUAGAGUAUGGUUUGAAAGUGACUCUCGUGUUGUGUGUGACGCAGUUAAUGAUAGGCAGACUUGUCAUUUUCAUAUUUCAUCCAUUGUUUUUGAUAUUAAGUCUGUCUUCCAAUACUUUCCGGAAGUGAAAUUAUCUUAUGUUAGAAGGGCAGGGAAUCGUUUGGCUCAUGAAACCGCUACGCUUUCAACGUCCCUUCUACCUGGGGAUCAAGUUUUGCAAGAACUUCCGGUGCAUUUGUUUCAGUUGGCAACUUUGGACUUUGGACUGCUCUCUGUUUUCUCUGUAAUGUGUUGUGGUGUUCUGUUUUCUUGCCUUGUAAAAAAUAAUAUAUAUUUGAUAGAAUAAUAUAUAAAGAAAACAACAAUAGUAAAUUAAAUUGAAUAAAA
Molecule: long non-coding RNA, 4086 nt
Organism: Cornus florida
Lineage: Eukaryota; Viridiplantae; Streptophyta; Magnoliopsida; Cornales; Cornaceae
Exons: 2
Source: RefSeq, a predicted model, not a curated record